Molecule: ribosomal RNA, 497 nt
Filed under: uncultured bacterium
Lineage: Bacteria
Description: partial 16S ribosomal RNA
Rfam family: Bacterial small subunit ribosomal RNA
Source: RNAcentral
GAUGAACGCUGGCGGCGUGCCUAAUACAUGCAAGUCGAGCGAACGGACGAGAAGCUUGCUUCUCUGAUGUUAGCGGCGGACGGGUGAGUAACACGUGGAUAACCUACCUAUAAGACUGGGAUAACUUCGGGAAACCGUAGCUAAUACCGGAUAAUAUUUUGAACCGCAUGGUUCAAAAGUGAAAGACGGUCUUGCUGUCACUUCUAGAUGGAUCCGCGCUGCAUUAGCUAGUUGGUAAGGUAACGGCUUACCAAGGCAACGAUGCAUAGCCGACCUGAGAGGGUGAUCGGCCACACGGGAACUGGGACACGGUCCAGACUCCUACGGGACGCAGCAGUAGGGAAUCUUCCGCAAAGGGCGAAAGCCUGACGGGGCAACGCCGCGUGAGUGAUGAAGGUCUUCGGAUCGUAAAACUCUGUUAUUAGGGAAGAACAUAUGUGUAAGUAACUGUGCACAUCUUGACGGUACCUAAUCAGAAAGCCACGGCUAACUACGUG